RNAcentral lists this ribosomal RNA (925 nucleotides) under Streptococcus agalactiae. RNAcentral's name for it is "bacterial SSU rRNA". It matches the Rfam family "Bacterial small subunit ribosomal RNA", at positions 12 to 913 of the family's 1533-position model. Lineage: Bacteria; Bacillati; Bacillota; Bacilli; Lactobacillales; Streptococcaceae. The record is from RNAcentral.
UUUGAAUCAUGGCUCAGGACGAAACGCUGGCGGCGUGCCUAAUACAUGCAAAGUAGAACGCUGAUGUUUGGUGUUUACACUAGACUGAUGAGUUGCGAACGGGUGAGUAACGCGUAGGUAACCUGCCUCAUAGCGGGGGAUAACUAUUGGAAACGAUAGCUAAUACCGCAUAAGAGUGAUUAACACAUGUUAGUUAUUUAAAAGGAGCAAUUGCUUCACUGUGAGAUGGACCUGCGUUGUAUUAGCUAGUUGGUGAGGUAAAGGCUCACCAAGGCGACGAUACAUAGCCGACCUGAGAGGGUGAUCGGCCACACUGGGACUGAGACACGGCCCAGACUCCUACGGGAGGCAGCAGUAGGGAAUCUUCGGCAAUGGACGGAAGUCUGACCGAGCAACGCCGCGUGAGUGAAGAAGGUUUUCGGAUCGUAAAGCUCUGUUGUUAGAGAAGAACGUUGGUAGGAGUGGAAAAUCUACCAAGUGACGGUAACUAACCAGAAAGGGACGGCUAACUACGUGCCAGCAGCCGCGGUAAUACGUAGGUCCCGAGCGUUGUCCGGAUUUAUUGGGCGUAAAGCGAGCGCAGGCGGUUCUUUAAGUCUGAAGUUAAAGGCAGUGGCUUAACCAUUGUACGCUUUGGAAACUGGAGGACUUGAGUGCAGAAGGGGAGAGUGGAAUUCCAUGUGUAGCGGUGAAAUGCGUAGAUAUAUGGAGGAACACCGGUGGCGAAAGCGGCUCUCUGGUCUGUAACUGACGCUGAGGCUCGAAAGCGUGGGGAGCAAACAGGAUUAGAUACCCUGGUAGUCCACGCCGUAAACGAUGAGUGCUAGGUGUUAGGCCCUUUCCCGGGGCUUAGUGCCGCAGCUAACGCAUUAAGCACUCCGCCUGGGGAGUACGACCGCCAAGGUUGAAACUCAAAUGAAAUUGA